UACAGAGACUGCAAGCGUUAUUCGGAUUCACUGGGCGUAAAGGGUGCGCAGGCGGCCAAGUGUGUGAGGCGUGAAAGCCCGGGGCUUAACCCCGGAAUUGCACCUCAAACUACAUGGCUAGAGCAUUGGAGAGGGUAGCAGAAUUCAUGGUGUAGCAGUGAAAUGCGUAGAUAUCAUGAGGAAUACCAGAGGCGAAGGCGGCUACCUGGACAAUUGCUGACGCUCAGGCACGAAAGCGUGGGGAGCAAACCGG
Molecule: ribosomal RNA, 253 nt
Filed under: uncultured bacterium
Lineage: Bacteria
Description: partial 16S ribosomal RNA
Rfam family: Bacterial small subunit ribosomal RNA
Source: RNAcentral